GUACACUCCUACGGGAGGCAGCAGUGGGGAAUUUUGGACAAUGGGCGAAAGCCUGAUCCAGCCAUGCCGCGUGCAGGAUGAAGGCCUUCGGGUUGUAAACUGCUUUUGUACGGAACGAAACGGCCUUUUCUAAUAAAGAGGGCUAAUGACGGUACCGUAAGAAUAAGCACCGGCUAACUACGUGCCAGCAGCCGCGGUAAUACGUAGGGUGCAAGCGUUAAUCGGAAUUACUGGGCGUAAAGCGUGCGCAGGCGGUUAUGUAAGACAGUUGUGAAAUCCCCGGGCUCAACCUGGGAACUGCAUCUGUGACUGCAUAGCUAAAGUACGGUAGAGGGGGAUGGAAUUCCGCGUGUAGCAGUGAAAUGCGUAGAUAUGCGGAGGAACACCGAUGGCGAAGGCAAUCCCCUGGACCUGUACUGACGCUCAUGCACGAAAGCGUGGGGAGCAAACAGGAUUAGAAACCCCUGUAGUCCCA
This 475-nucleotide ribosomal RNA is filed under the name uncultured organism. Its description in RNAcentral is "partial 16S ribosomal RNA". It matches the Rfam family "Bacterial small subunit ribosomal RNA", at positions 331 to 797 of the family's 1533-position model. The record is from RNAcentral.